This 456-nucleotide ribosomal RNA is filed under the name uncultured bacterium. RNAcentral's name for it is "bacterial SSU rRNA". It matches the Rfam family "Bacterial small subunit ribosomal RNA", at positions 28 to 518 of the family's 1533-position model. The record is from RNAcentral.
GAUCAACGCUGGCGGCGUGCCUAACGCAUGUAAGUCGAACGCAGAGCCUUCGGGCUUUGAGUGGCGAACGGCUGAGGAACACGUACGAACCUGCCGAUCCGUGGGGAAUAACGCGCCGAAAGGCGUGCUAAUACCGCGUACGCUCAUCGCAAGAUGAGGAAAGCCGUAAGGCGCGGAUUGAGGGGCGUGCGGCCCAUCAGGUAGUUGGUGGGGUGAUAGCCUACCAAGCCGAUGACGGGUAGCUGGUCUGUGAGGACGAUCAGCCAGACUGGGACUGCGACACGGCCCAGACACCUACGGGUGGCAGCAGCGAGGAAUCUUCCACAAUGGACGCAAGUCCGAUGGAGCAACGCCGCGUGGAGGACGACGGCCUUCGGGUUGUAAACUCCUUUCGGGAGGGAUGAAACGGACAGUACCUCCAGAAGAAGCCCCGGCUAACUCUGUGCCAGCAGCCGC